AGUGAACGCUGGCGGUAGGCCUAACACAUGCAAGUCGAACGGCAGCACAGUAAGAGCUUGCUCUUACGGGUGGCGAGUGGCGGACGGGUGAGGAAUACAUCGGAAUCUACUUUUUCGUGGGGGAUAACGUAGGGAAACUUACGCUAAUACCGCAUACGACCUACGGGUGAAAGCAGGGGAUCUUCGGACCUUGCGCGAUUGAAUGAGCCGAUGUCGGAUUAGCUAGUUGGCGGGGUAAAGGCCCACCAAGGCGACGAUCCGUAGCUGGUCUGAGAGGAUGAUCAGCCACCGUGAAACUGAGACAGGGUCCAGCCUCCUACGGGAGGCAGCGGUGGGGAAUAUUGGACAAUGGGCGAAAGCCUGAUCCAGCCAUACCGCGUGGGUGAAGAAGGCCUUCGGGUUGUAAAGCCCUUUUGUUGGGAAAGAAAAGCAGCUGGUUAAUACCCCGCUGUUCUGACGGUACCCAAAGAAUAAGCACCGGCUAACUUGGU
This 491-nucleotide ribosomal RNA is filed under the name uncultured bacterium. Its description in RNAcentral is "partial 16S ribosomal RNA". It matches the Rfam family "Bacterial small subunit ribosomal RNA", at positions 29 to 506 of the family's 1533-position model. The record is from RNAcentral.